RNAcentral lists this unclassified non-coding RNA (318 nucleotides) under Nocardia farcinica. Its description in RNAcentral is "16S-23S ribosomal RNA intergenic spacer region". Lineage: Bacteria; Bacillati; Actinomycetota; Actinomycetes; Mycobacteriales; Nocardiaceae. The record is from RNAcentral.
AAGGAGCACUUCUCCACGAUGCGUCACACAGGUGAUUGUGGUCGUGGCAGAGGCCAUGUCGGACUCGAAUGUAGUCCGGUGGUUGCUCAUGGGUGGAACGCUGACAUGUGCCGCUGGCUUCGGUUGGUGGAUGUAGUCGACACACUGUUGGGUCCUGAGAGAACACGCGAGUGACUCUCUAGGUAUGAGAUAACGACGAGGCUGGAUCUUCAGUCAUACCGCGGGGCUUUCUUCGGAGGGUUUCGGUCUGGUGCUGAGUCAGGGUUUGGUCUUGUGUGUUGUUUGAGAACUGCACAGUGGACGCGAGCAUCUUUGUUU